This 1402-nucleotide ribosomal RNA is filed under the name uncultured bacterium. RNAcentral describes it as "bacterial SSU rRNA". It matches the Rfam family "Bacterial small subunit ribosomal RNA". The record is from RNAcentral.
AGAGUUUGAUCCUGGCUCAGGAUGAACGCUGGCGGCGUGCCUAACACAUGCAAGUCGAACGGAGCGCCCGGACGGAGUAUUUCGGUACAAAGACCGGGUGGCUGAGUGGCGGACGGGUGAGUAACGCGUGGACAACCUGCCGUGUACAGGGGGAUAACAGCCGGAAACGGCUGCUAAUACCGCAUAUGCGCACAGUGCCGCAUGGCACAGGGCGGAAAGCCUAGAUCUUAUCUAGUACGGUACACGAUGGGUCCGCGUCUGAUUAGGUAGUUGGCGGGGUAACGGCCCACCAAGCCCACGAUCAGUAGCCGGCCUGAGAGGGCGGACGGCCACACUGGGACUGAGACACGGCCCAGACUCCUGCGGGAGGCAGCAGUGGGGAAUAUCGCACAAUGGGGGGAACCCUGAUGCAGCGACGCCGCGUGAAGGAAGAAGUAUCUCGGUAUGUAAACUUCUAUCAGCAGGGAAGAAAGAGGACGGUACCUGACUAAGAAGCCCCGGCUAACUACGUGCCAGCAGCCGCGGUAAUACGUAGGGGGCGAGCGUUAUCCGGAUUUACUGGGUGUAAAGGGAGCGUAGACGGCCAUGCAAGCUCGGUGUGAAAGGUGCGGGCACAACCCGCAGACUGCACUGAGAACUGUAUGGCUGGAGUGCCGGAGGGGCAGGCGGAAUUCCUGGUGUAGCGGUGAAAUGCGUAGAUAUCAGGAGGAACACCGGUGGCGAAGGCGGCCUGCUGGACGGCGACUGACGUUGAGGCUCGAAAGCGUGGGGAGCGAACAGGAUUAGAUACCCUGGUAGUCCACGCCGUAAACGAUGUAUACCAAGUGUCGGGCAUCAAGGAUGGCCGGUGCCGUAGCAAACGCAUUAAGUAUACCACCUGGGGAGUACGUUCGCAAGAAUGAAACUCAAAGGAAUUGACGGGGACCCGCACAAGCGGUGGAGCAUGUGGUUUAAUCCGAAGCAACGCGAAGAACCUUACCAAGCCUUGACAUCCCGCUGACAGGGGCGUAACGGCCCCCUCCCUUCGGGGCAGCGGUGACAGGUGGUGCAUGGUUGUCGUCAGCUCGUGUCGUGAGAUGUUGGGUUAAGUCCCGCAACGAGCGCAACCCUUGUUACUAGUUGCCAGCAUUAAGUUGGGCACUCUAGUGAGACCGCCGGUGACAAACCGGAGGAAGGUGGGGACGACGUCAGAUCAUCAUGCCCCUUAUGACCUGGGCUACACACGUGCUACAAUGGACGGUACAACGAGUCGCAAGCUCGCGAGAGUAAGCUAAUCUCUUAAAGCCGUUCUCAGUUCGGACUGUAGGCUGCAACUCGCCUACACGAAGUCGGAAUCGCUAGUAAUCGCGGAUCAGCAUGCCGCGGUGAAUACGUUCCCGGGCCUUGCACACACCGCCCGUCA